This 468-nucleotide ribosomal RNA is filed under the name uncultured bacterium. RNAcentral describes it as "partial 16S ribosomal RNA". It matches the Rfam family "Bacterial small subunit ribosomal RNA", at positions 28 to 507 of the family's 1533-position model. The record is from RNAcentral.
GACGAACGCUGGCGGCGUGCUUAACACAUGCAAGUCGAACGGAAAGACCCUGCUUUUGUGGGGUGCUCGAGUGGCGAACGGGUGAGUAACACGUGAGUAACCUGCCCUUGACUUUGGGAUAACUUCAGGAAACUGGGGCUAAUACCGGAUAGGAGCUCCUGCUGCAUGGUGGGGGUUGGAAAGUUUCGGCGGUUGGGGAUGGACUCGCGGCUUAUCAGCUUGUUGGUGGGGUAGUGGCUUACCAAGGCUUUGACGGGUAGCCGGCCUGAGAGGGUGACCGGCCACGUUGGGACUGAGAUACGGCCCAGACUCCUACGGGAGGCAGCAGUGGGGAAUAUUGCACAAUGGGCGGAAGCCUGAUGCAGCAACGCCGCGUGCGGAAUGACGGCCUUCGGGUUGUAAACCGCUUUCGCCUGUGACGAAGCGUGAGUGACGGUAAUGGGUAAAGAAGCACCGGCUAACUACGUG